Molecule: ribosomal RNA, 570 nt
Rfam family: 5.8S ribosomal RNA (bases 213-366)
UAACAAGGUCUCCGUUGGUGAACCAGCGGAGGGAUCAUUACUGAGUUUACGCUCUACAACCCUUUGUGAACAUACCUAUAACUGUUGCUUCGGCGGGUAGGGUCUCCGCGACCCUCCCGGCCUCCCGCCUCCGGGCGGGUCGGCGCCCGCCGGAGGAUAACCAAACUCUGAUUUAACGACGUUUCUUCUGAGUGGUACAAGCAAAUAAUCAAAACUUUUAACAACGGAUCUCUUGGUUCUGGCAUCGAUGAAGAACGCAGCGAAAUGCGAUAAGUAAUGUGAAUUGCAGAAUUCAGUGAAUCAUCGAAUCUUUGAACGCACAUUGCGCCCGCCAGCAUUCUGGCGGGCAUGCCUGUUCGAGCGUCAUUUCAACCCUCAAGCUCUGCUUGGUGUUGGGGCCCUACAGCUGAUGUAGGCCCUCAAAGGUAGUGGCGGACCCUCUCGGAGCCUCCUUUGCGUAGUAACUUUACGUCUCGCACUGGGAUCCGGAGGGACUCUUGCCGUAAAACCCCCAAUUUUCCAAAGGUUGACCUCGGAUCAGUAGGAAUACCCGCUGAACUUAAGCAUAUC